AUUGAACGCUGGCGGCAGGCUUAACACAUGCAAGUCGAGCGGGGAUUGGGUGCUUGCACCUAAUCUUAGCGGCGGACGGGUGAGUAAUGCUUAGGAAUCUGCCAUUUAGUGGGGGACAACAUUCCGAAAGGGAUGCUAAUACCGCAUACGCCCUACGGGGGAAAGCAGGGGAUCUUCGGACCUUGCGCUAAAUGAUGAGCCUAAGUCGGAUUAGCUAGUUGGUGGGGUAAAGGCCUACCAAGGCGACGAUCUGUAGCGGGUCUGAGAGGAUGAUACGCCACACUGGGACUGAGACACGGCCCAGACUCCUACGGGAGGCAGCAGUGGGGAAUAUUGGACAAUGGGCGGAAGCCUGAUCCAGCCAUGCCGCGUGUGUGAAGAAGGCCUUUUGGUUGUAAAGCACUUUAAGCGAGGAGGAGGCUACCUGGAUUAAUACUCUAGGAUAGUGGACGUUACUCGCAGAAUAAGCACCGGCUAACUCUGUGCCAGCAGCCGCGGUAAUACAGAGGGUGCGAGCGUUAAUCGGAUUUACUGGGCGUAAAGCGUGCGUAGGCGGCUGAUUAAGUCGGAUGUGAAAUCCCUGAGCUUAACUUAGGAAUUGCAUUCGAUACUGGUCAGCUAGAGUAUGGGAGAGGAUGGUAGAAUUCCAGGUGUAGCGGUGAAAUGCGUAGAGAUCUGGAGGAAUACCGAUGGCGAAGGCAGCCAUCUGGCCUAAUACUGACGCUGAGGUACGAAAGCAUGGGGAGCAAACAGGAUUAGAUACCCUGGUAGUCCAUGCCGUAAACGAUGUCUACUAGCCGUUGGGGCCUUUGAGGCUUUAGUGGCGCAGCUAACGCGAUAAGUAGACCGCCUGGGGAGUACGGUCGCAAGACUAAAACUCAAAUGAAUUGACGGGGGCCCGCACAAGCGGUGGAGCAUGUGGUUUAAUUCGAUGCAACGCGAAGAACCUUACCUGGCCUUGACAUAGUAGAAACUUUCCAGAGAUGGAUUGGUGC
RNAcentral lists this ribosomal RNA (995 nucleotides) under uncultured bacterium. RNAcentral's name for it is "bacterial SSU rRNA". It matches the Rfam family "Bacterial small subunit ribosomal RNA", at positions 28 to 1017 of the family's 1533-position model. The record is from RNAcentral.